Molecule: long non-coding RNA, 753 nt
Organism: Mesocricetus auratus (golden hamster)
Lineage: Eukaryota; Metazoa; Chordata; Mammalia; Rodentia; Cricetidae
Exons: 3
Source: RefSeq, a predicted model, not a curated record
CAACAGGGGGUCCCUUUGACAGUCUGUUUUCCUGAGAGAUGCUCUUAGCCCAAACCCUUUCACUCAGUGAGUGAGUCACUGCAGGGGUGUGGAGCACAGGUUCCAGGGGCAGGGAACCUCCUACAGCCUGAGCUGUGCCCUCACCCUGAGCCUACUAGGCUCCCGCAACCCCGUCCCUACAGGCCUUGGUGACAGAGGCCCGAGAGCAGAGUUUCCACGCUGAUGGAGAGGGGACUCCCACCGCCCAACUCUGACCUGAGUACAGAAACUCUCGCUCCCCCAGUGAGGGGAGGGCUGCAGCAGGUCCCACAGACCACGUGGCAUUCGACGGCUUUUCCUCUUCUUUGUAGCAUUCUCUCUCCAGGGGACCAAGGACAAUGGCAAAACCGUCUACCACGGGUCAAGUUCAUCCAGUGUUUCCAUCAAGUCCUGCCCAGGGAGCCUGUGCCCCAAGUGACAUCACAUUGGCAGCUGAAGAUGGGAGUGUUUACACCACAGAAAUUGCCCAGAGCUCCUCAUCAAGAUUGCUUCCCCUGGGGAAACUGGUGUUUUGUAUUGCUCCUUAUGCCUCAGAAAUCUUGACUUGGUUAAUGCAAGAAGAAAUAGACACAUUAUAUACAUAUGUCAUAUUAUCAUAUGUAUAUGGUAAGAUAAAAAUAAAGUAAAGGGAAAAUUCACGUUAUGCGAUUAUUUACCUAGGAAAUUUGGAGGAACAAGCAGGAACUAUUACAAUUAAUCAGGAAUUCUGUAAAU